UACGUAGGUGGCAAGCGUUGUCCGGAAUUAUUGGGCUUAAAGCGCGCGCAGGCGGCCUCUUAAGUCUGAUGUGAAAGCCCCCCGGCUCAACCGGGGAGGGCCAUUGGAAACUGGGAGGCUUGAGUAUAGGAGAGAAGAGUGGAAUUCCACGUGUAGCGGUGAAAUGCGUAGAGAUGUGGAGGAACACCAGUGGCGAAGGCGACUCUUUGGCCUAUAACUGACGCUGAGGCGCGAAAGCGUGGGGAGCAAACAGG
RNAcentral lists this ribosomal RNA (254 nucleotides) under uncultured bacterium. RNAcentral describes it as "partial 16S ribosomal RNA". It matches the Rfam family "Bacterial small subunit ribosomal RNA", at positions 524 to 776 of the family's 1533-position model. The record is from RNAcentral.